CUGCUGUAACGUGACACUUUCUAAGGCUCCCAUAGGCUCUCAGAAGGCGCCAGAACGUUGAAUGAUGACUCUGCAGUCCCUGGCUGAAAAACAGUAGCGCAUUUGGAUAGUGGUCGAUCUGAGAACAAUGAAACGGCCGCGCGCGUGCACGUGAAGAGUCCAUAUUACAUUUUCAGUCUUUGAACGAAAACGACGUCUCCCGGUGGGAAUAUUAUCGCUAUUUUUACGAGAAAAAUCGCAUAAAAAUUGAUUUUAAACAGCGUUUGACAUGCUUCUAAGUACGGUAAUGGAAUAUUUUGAAUUUUUUUGUCACGAUACGCGCCGGCGCGUCACCCUUCGGAUAGUGUCUUGAAUGCAAGAACAAACGCAGCUAUUUGGAUAUAACUAUGAAUUAUUUGGAAUCAAACCAACAUUUUUUGUUGAAGUAGAAGUCCUGGGAGUGCAUUCUGACGAAGAACAGCAAAGGUGAACGUGGUACCUUCAGGCGUUUGGAAAUUGCUCCCAAGGAUGAACCAGACUUGUGGAGGUCUACAAUUUUUUUCUGAGGUCUUGGCUGAUUUCUUUUGAUUUUCCCAUGAUGUCAAGCAAAGAGGCACUGAGUUUGAAGAGACCAAGGCCAUGGAGGAAUAUAUUGAGGACUCUGUCUGCUGGAGGAAUCAGGCCUUCGGCAUCCCCUGCCGGCGCAGGGACCCUGCUUCCGUGCAUUGCCUACAUUGAAUACUACUAUGCCUUAUUGACUGAGGUGUUGAUGUUGCCUUGACUCUGAACCUGCCUGCCUGACCAUACUGCCUGCCCUGACCUCGAGCCUGCCUGCCACUCUGUACCUCCUGGACUCUGACCUUGUUAUGAUCUUUUGCCUGUCCACGACCCUUCUCUUGCCAGCCCUUUGGAUACUAAUAAAUAUCAGAGACUCGAACCAUCUGCCUCCCGUAUCUGCAUCUUGGUCUCGCCCUGUGCCCUUAUAAAUUCAAUAAGACAAAAGCUGCAAAAUGGAGAGUUGAAAAUAAAGAGAACGGAGGCCCAGAAAAGUAAUGUUUGGAAAAUAUUUGGUGAAGUUGUAAAGUAGGAUGAUAAUUAUUUGUGGUGAUUGUCAGUUGCUAUAGAAAUUUGACAGUCACAAGAUGGGACUUUAAAUAGACAUAUGGCAUGUCAAGGGAUGUUUAGAUGAGUUAAAUGGAAACUGAAAUGUGGACACUGACUGUAUGUGUAUAACCUCUCUCAUAGCCUUAAUAAUAAUAAGCAUUUUUUGCAGUAAAAUUAUACACCAAAAGUAGGCAAAAUUUGGUCUUGGGAACAGGAGUGGAGAAAUUUUAUUUCUGCAUCUUGAGAGAAUGCAAUGCUCAGUUCUAUUUUGAUAUUUUAUUAGGAUCCCCAUUAGCUGUUGCAAAAGCAGCAGCUACUCUUCCUGGGACCACACAAAACAUGACAUAAUACAGAACAUUAAUAGUCAAGGACAGAAUUACAUCAAUUUCAAAAAGGCACACGUAGCCUACAUAUUAGUGUAUAUACACACAAACUAUCUAGGUCAAAUAGGGGAGAGGCGUUGUGCCUUGAGGUGUUGCUUCAUCUGUUUUUUGAAACCAGGUUUAAUGUUCACUUGUGCUAUAUGAGAUGGGAGUUUCGUGCAAUAAUGGCUCUAUAUAACACUGUAUGAUUUCUUGAAUUUGUUCUGUAUUUGGGGACUAUUGUAUAAACUCCUAGCGGCAUGUCUGGUGGGGUAAGUGUGUGUGUGUGUGUGUG
RNAcentral lists this long non-coding RNA (1740 nucleotides) under Salmo salar (Atlantic salmon). RNAcentral's name for it is "lncRNA (ENSSSAG00000109341.1)". The record is from RNAcentral. Lineage: Eukaryota; Metazoa; Chordata; Actinopteri; Salmoniformes; Salmonidae.